UAGUCCACGCCGUAAACGAUGGUCACUAGUUGUUGGGGCUUUAUGCCUCAGUGAUUAAGAGAAAUUGAUAAGUGACCCACCUGGGGAGUACGAUCGCAAGAUUGAAACUCAAAGGAAUUGACGGGGGCCCGCACAAGCGGUGGAGCAUGUGGUUUAAUUCGAUGAUACGCGAGGAACCUUACCAGGGCUUAAAUGCAUACCGACGGACCGGGAAACUGGUCUUUCUUCGGACGUGAUGCAAGGUGCUGCAUGGUUGUCGUCAGCUCGUGCCGUGAGGUGUCGGGUUAAGUCCCAUAACGAGCGCAACCCUCAUCAUUAGUUGCCAGCGGGUAAUGCCGGGGACUCUAAUGAAACUGCCGGUGUAAACCGAGAGGAAGGUGAGGAUGACGUCAAAUCAGCACGGCCCUUAUGUCCAGGGCUACACACGUGUUACAAUGGUCAGUACAAAGGGCAGCUACCUGGUGACAGGAUGCUAAUCUCUAAAACUGGUCUCAGUUCGGAUCG
This 504-nucleotide ribosomal RNA is filed under the name uncultured bacterium. RNAcentral describes it as "bacterial SSU rRNA". It matches the Rfam family "Bacterial small subunit ribosomal RNA", at positions 791 to 1300 of the family's 1533-position model. The record is from RNAcentral.